UCCUACGGGAGGCAGCAGUGGGGAAUUUUGGACAAUGGGGGCAACCCUGAUCCAGCCAUUCCGCGUGAGUGAAGAAGGCCUUCGGGUUGUAAAGCUCUUUCAGCGGGAACGAAACGGUGCGCUCUAACAUAGCGUAUUAAUGACGGUACCCGCAGAAGAAGCACCGGCUAACUACGUGCCAGCAGCCGCGGUAAU
Molecule: ribosomal RNA, 195 nt
Filed under: uncultured Sphingomonas sp.
Lineage: Bacteria; Pseudomonadati; Pseudomonadota; Alphaproteobacteria; Sphingomonadales; Sphingomonadaceae
Description: partial 16S ribosomal RNA
Rfam family: Bacterial small subunit ribosomal RNA
Source: RNAcentral